This 282-nucleotide long non-coding RNA is filed under the name Homo sapiens (human). RNAcentral describes it as "HSALNT0343732". The record is from RNAcentral. Lineage: Eukaryota; Metazoa; Chordata; Mammalia; Primates; Hominidae.
UUGGCUGGCCCCAUCUCUUAGAUCCCUGCUUGACUGACAGCCCAAUUCUAACUGUGCCGACUUCUCUGGUGGCUACGGCUGCGGCUACGGCUGCUGGAGCGGGACCUGUGGCGAUGGCGUUUCUCCCGAGAUUUGGAUCGAGUUCUCCUCUUGCGUUCACGUGACAUGGAGCGAGAUCGAUGUCUGCGAUGCUCUCUGGACCUGGAUCUACCAGACAAGAUUUGAUUUUGUUUCUACCUUUGUAAUUACUAUAUUUCUCAUUUAUUAAAGCCUUUUCUUUAA